Molecule: ribosomal RNA, 449 nt
Filed under: uncultured bacterium
Lineage: Bacteria
Description: partial 16S ribosomal RNA
Rfam family: Bacterial small subunit ribosomal RNA
Source: RNAcentral
AGCGAACGCUGGCGGCAGGCCUAACACAUGCAAGUCGAACGGAUCCUUCGGGAUUAGUGGCGGACGGGUGAGUAACACGUGGGAACGUGCCCUUUGGUUCGGAACAACUCAGGGAAACUUGAGCUAAUACUGGAUGUGCCCUUCGGGGGAAAGAUUUAUCGCCAUUGGAGCGGCCCGCGUCUGAUUAGCUAGUUGGUGAGGUAAAGGCUCACCAAGGCGACGAUCAGUAGCUGGUCUGAGAGGAUGAUCAGCCACAUUGGGACUGAGACACGGCCCAAACUCCUACGGGAGGCAGCAGUGGGGAAUCUUGCGCAAUGGGCGAAAGCCUGACGCAGCCAUGCCGCGUGAAUGAUGAAGGUCUUAGGGUUGUAAAAUUCUUUCACCGGGGACGAUAAUGACGGUACCCGGAGAAGAAGCCCCGGCUAACUUCGUGCCAGCCGCCGCAGUAA